This 273-nucleotide ribosomal RNA is filed under the name uncultured bacterium. RNAcentral's name for it is "partial 16S ribosomal RNA". It matches the Rfam family "Bacterial small subunit ribosomal RNA", at positions 524 to 796 of the family's 1533-position model. The record is from RNAcentral.
UACGGAGGGUGCAAGCGUUACUCGGAAUCACUGGGCGUAAAGGGUGCGUAGGCGGGUUAUCAAGUCUCGAGUGAAAUCCAACGGCUUAACCGUUGAACUGCUUGGGAAACUGGUAGCCUAGAGUGAGGGAGAGGCAGAUGGAAUUGGUGGUGUAGGGGUAAAAGCCGUAGAGAUCACCAGGAAUACCCAUUGCGAAGGCGAUCUGCUGGAACUCAACUGAAGCGGAGGCACGAAAGCGGGGGGCGCAAACAGGAUUCGAUACCAGCGGAGUCC